CGUAGGGGGCAAGCGUUGUCCGGAAUUAUUGGGCGUAAAGGGCGCGUAGGCGGGUAUUUAAGUCUGGUGUGAAAGAUCAGGGCUCAACCCUGAGAGUGCAUCGGAAACUGGGCAUCUUGAGGACAGGAGAGGAAAGUGGAAUUCCACGUGUAGCGGUGAAAUGCGUAGAUAUGUGGAGGAACACCAGUGGCGAAGGCGACUUUCUGGACUGUAACUGACGCUGAGGCGCGAAAGCGUGGGGAGCAAACAGGAUUAGAUACCCUGGUAGUCCACGCCGUAAACGAUGAGUGCUAGGUGUAGAGGGUAUCGACCCCUUCUGUGCCGCAGUUAACACAAUAAGCACUCCGCCUGGGGAGUACGGCCGCAAGGUUG
RNAcentral lists this ribosomal RNA (372 nucleotides) under uncultured organism. RNAcentral's name for it is "bacterial SSU rRNA". It matches the Rfam family "Bacterial small subunit ribosomal RNA", at positions 526 to 896 of the family's 1533-position model. The record is from RNAcentral.